UGCCAGCCGCCGCGGUAAUACGAAAGGUGCGAGCGUUAAUCGGAAUUACUGGGCGUAAAGCGCGCGUAGGCGGUUUGCUAAGUCAGAUGUGAAAGCCCCGGGCUCAACCUGGGAACUGCAUUUGAAACUGGCAGGCUAGAAUGCAGUAGAGGGAGGUGGAAUUUCCGGUGUAGCGGUGAAAUGCGUAGAGAUCGGAAGGAACACCAGUGGCGAAGGCGGCCUCCUGGACUGACAUUGACGCUGAGGUGCGAAAGCGUGGGGAGCAAACAGGAUUAGAUA
This 279-nucleotide ribosomal RNA is filed under the name uncultured bacterium. Its description in RNAcentral is "partial 16S ribosomal RNA". It matches the Rfam family "Bacterial small subunit ribosomal RNA", at positions 506 to 784 of the family's 1533-position model. The record is from RNAcentral.